Molecule: long non-coding RNA, 295 nt
Filed under: Vitis vinifera (wine grape)
Lineage: Eukaryota; Viridiplantae; Streptophyta; Magnoliopsida; Vitales; Vitaceae
Description: long non-coding RNA (VVIN_LNC001729)
Source: RNAcentral
CAGCUCCAGGACUGCAAGGAACCAGAAAUCACCAACAACCGAAGUGGUGGGAUGAAGCAUAGAAGACGAAGUGCAGAUGAUGUCAGGAAUGAAAAACCUCCUAUUGCUACCCCCUAUCCUCUAAGUGCAGAUGAUGCUAGGAAAGAAAAACCUGUUAUACCUUCUGCUCAUCCACAAAGCGCAGACUAUGCCAAGAAAGAAAAGCCCACUACUGCUAUUGCUUAUCCAAGGCCAUCAGCUUCCCCACUAUAUACCUAGUAGAAAAGGACAUGGAAGAACUUGGCAUAAACUGCUC